AUUUUUUUUUUCUCUACUGCUCGUUUACUAAUUAAAAAAAAUUACAAUUUACAGAACGAACGACUUAAAGAAUUUGUUUUAAAAUAUUGUAACAAAAAAAUAUACGAAGACUUAAUAACCCCGUAUUGCUACCAUCACUUUGGCUAUUCUCCUGAACACAUAUUAAUGAAAUCUUAUUUCCCUAAUUUUUUGCAAAGAUUAGAGAACGAAAAAAGUCUGUUCAAAUCUAUUAAAUGUCUUAAUGGUGAUAAUAAUAAAAAUAGCAAUUUGUUUCAAAAAAAUAAAAAAGUUGUUAGGUUUAAAGAAGGAAACGUGUUAUUAACAAACAAACUCAUUGACCACUUCGAUUUAUACCCUAACACUCAACACUUUAGAAAUAUACAAAAUUUGAAAAUUAUAUGUAGAAAAGGAAAAGUUAAGGUGUCUAUAGGAAGAAAUGUAAUACGUUGUGAUGAUGUUGUUCUUUGUCUGAAUCCUUUAGAAUUAAAAAAUAUGUUGAAAAAAAAAAAAUUUCAAAUUGAAAACAAAAAGGUUUUAAUAAAACAUUUAAAUAGUUUUCGCUGUAAGAGGAUUAAAAUAACAAAUGUAUGUUACAAAAAGAAUGUUCUCCCCUUAUCUCAAUCACUGGAGUCAUUAAUGCUAGUUAAACAGAAUGAGAAGAAUAAAAUUAUUUCUUUAUUAUAUGACCAUAAUAUAUUUUCCCAAAUGGGCUUAAAUAGUUCGACAGAGAAGACUUCUACACAUGAAAUUUUGUAUGAAACGAGAUUGCGAUUUAUGAGCUCCGAAACGAAGGAUGAAAAAUGUGUUGAAGAAAUAAACACUUUUCUUCAAGACAUUUUAAAAUUGAAAGAAGGUCCUGAUUUGGUUAUUGGGGACACAUACAACGUAUUCCUUUUCAACGAAAGACUUGAUAAAGCCUUCAAAAAAUUAAUAAACAAAAAAUAUAAACAAUUAAAAAUUUUUUGGAUCUUUUUUUUUUUUAAAAACUUAGAAUUUUGUUUACGUGAAACUAAAAAUUUUUGUAAUAAUUAUUAUUCUUAAGCAAAUUUUUAAAAUAAUUAUUAUUAUUAUUAUUAUUAUUAUUAUUUUUUUUUUUUUUUUUCUUUCUUGUUUCUUGUUUCAAAUGGCACCUUUUACUGUUUUUAAGAACCUUUUUGCAAUGUUAAAACAUAAGAAAUAAUUUUGUAUAGUGUUUUUAUUUUAUUUUUUUUUUUUUUUUUUGUUUUGAAAUGAAAUGAAAUAUUGUGGCUCAUUUUUGCUUCAUUUACUUAGUUCUGCUUUAUUUGCUCAUUUUUGCUUUAUUUGAUUUUUUUUUUUUUUUUUUUUACUUUUGCCUUGUUAAAUUAUGCCACAUGGCAAAAGUAUAUGUUAUCCCAUUAACGAGUAUAUAUAUAUACAUACUAUUUUUUUUACUACUAACACAUAAAACGAAAUAUUCUAUACAGUAUUGCCAUUAUUCCACCCCUCAAAAAAAACAUAUAUUUUCAGUUCUAACUAAAAAAAAAAUAAAAUUAAAAGUUGAAAAUGAAAAACCCA
RNAcentral lists this long non-coding RNA (1536 nucleotides) under Piliocolobus tephrosceles (Ugandan red Colobus). Its description in RNAcentral is "lncRNA (ENSPTEG00000017016.1)". Lineage: Eukaryota; Metazoa; Chordata; Mammalia; Primates; Cercopithecidae. The record is from RNAcentral.